GGUUUUGAAUUAUUGGCUCUUCGGUAAGCUCACAGCCAAAAGACUGCGAGAAUUCUUCUGGUAUCCAUGUGGGAGAGAAAAGCCCAUGUAGGAGGCUGGAAGAUGUGAAUGGAGCUUGUGGGGCCAUUCCCAGCAUUCCCUGGAGUUUAGCUUGAGAAAAUAAUAAGAAUUCUAUACGAUCAGUGAUCUCACUCAUCUGGACUACGCUCCUGCCCAGCCGGCCAGGCAGGUCUGACGAUGGAGAUACCUGCUUCCACACGGGAAGAAACUCUGAGUUCACAGACAGGUGCCCCAGGAGCAAGUCCCAGCUCUCUGUCCGCUUGUUUGGGGCACUUGAGUGGCCACUUAGCUUUGCUGAGCCUCACACUCUCCUCCUGUAAAAUGGAGCUAAUACACCUCUGUCACAGAGCCACUGUCAGUCUCUAAUGAAAUAAAGCUUGUGAUGUGUUCUGAAG
Bos taurus (domestic cattle) is the source of this 455-nucleotide long non-coding RNA. The record is from Ensembl. NCBI's taxonomy places the organism in Eukaryota, Metazoa, Chordata, Mammalia, Artiodactyla, Bovidae.